GUAAAUCGCAAACCAUUUGAAAGAGUGGGACGCAAAGUCUGGAGUCUAAAGCAUCCUGCGGAUGCCAUGAUCGUUCGACUGCCA
RNAcentral lists this non-coding RNA (84 nucleotides) under Paenibacillus senegalensis. RNAcentral's name for it is "Cyclic di-GMP-I riboswitch". It matches the Rfam family "c-di-GMP-I riboswitch aptamer", at positions 12 to 85 of the family's 87-position model. From Rfam's summary of the family: GEMM was predicted in a large-scale screen for bacterial structured RNA regulatory elements. Genes associated with GEMM are involved in a diverse array of functions, including chemotaxis regulation, signal transduction, secretion and chitin. Lineage: Bacteria; Bacillati; Bacillota; Bacilli; Caryophanales; Paenibacillaceae. The record is from RNAcentral.